GGAAUUUCUAGAAGCAGGCCUGGACAAAAGUCUCAGCCUGUGCACCAUGAAGGUGCAGUCCUCAGCUCUACCUGCCCUAUGUAAUACCUCAUGGCCAUCUCACCCUCUCAUCUCAAGGUUCUUUAAGGCAGCCUUACACUUACGCCCUUCAGCCAGAAACUCAGCUCCUCCAUGGGAUUUGCCAUUAGUCCUGAAUGCUUUAACGGAAGUUCCCUAUGCACCUCUAAAGGAUAUCUCUGUUCAACCUCACUUAUAAAACUGUAUUCACCACGGCCGAGAGUAUUUCGG
Non-coding RNA from Pelobates cultripes (western spadefoot toad), 288 nucleotides. The record is from the annotation of a GenBank genome assembly. NCBI's taxonomy places the organism in Eukaryota, Metazoa, Chordata, Amphibia, Anura, Pelobatidae.